UCCGGGCUUCCGUCGCCGCCGUCGCCGCGGCCGCCGCCGCCCGGCCGUGCCGGGCUCGGCUCCUCCGAACCGUCUGGCGGACUUGGCACCGGCCCCGGCUCUUCAGUGCCCCCGCGGACCCUACCUAAAUUCUCUGGCAAGAAAGAGGAAAGGAGAUGAGGGGCUGGCUUUCAUCCCCGUUGCUGUAUUGGGUGGAUCCUGCCUUUCUCCUUGAAGGAGCUUUCCUCAGCCCUGGGAAGGAGGAAGCUGGUGAAGAAGUUGAGGCCCAUUUCUCCAGACCUGUGGAGGUCACGUUCGUGAACAGGAUCAGAGCCACUCUGGCACUCAGUGGCUCAUCUCUAGAAAUAUCAAUCAAUCAAUCACUCUGGCUGCUGUGCCAAAAAUAGACUGAAGGAGACCGAGAACAGAGGCUGUGGUCUCGCAGGAGAGAGGAGACGGCGGCUUGGACCCGGGUGGACUCAUCCUGCAGUGGAGGGAGUGGAAAAGAGCCAGUGAGGGUGGAGCAUGGAGGGAGCAUCAGAAGAUGACACUGGAGAGGAAGCAGGGACCAGACCCACCUGGUCAGGAGUUUGGAUUUUAUUCUAUGUGCUAAGAAAGCCUCUGUGAGUUUUAAGACAAGAGGAGAACGUCUCUGGAAUUCCUGCUGUGGCACAACAGGAUCGGCAGCAUCUCUCCAGGGCCAGGACACAGGUUCGAUCCCUGACCUGGAACAGUGGGUUAAGGGAUCUGGUGUUACCAACGGGGUAGGUCACAACAACGGCUUGGAUAUGAUCUGGGAACUCCUUAUGCCCUGGGGUGGCUGAAAAUGAAAAGAAGAGAGGAGGAGGAGCAGGGAAAGGCCCAGCUUCUAUUUUUAAAAGAUGACCCUAGCUGCUGUGGGAGAAUGGAUUGCAGGGGGGCAAGGUGGGAGGCUAGAGCAGAGACUCAGAGGAGAGCUGAUAUGACCCGGCUUAGGGGGCAAGCAUUGAGGAAGGAGAGAAGAGUCUGGACUUGGGGUACAUCAGUAGUUCUUGGUGAGAGUCUAUAUGGAGAGUGAGAAAUAGGGAGAACUUGGAGUUCCCACUGUGGCGCAGUGGAAAUGAA
Molecule: non-coding RNA, 1083 nt
Organism: Sus scrofa (pig)
Lineage: Eukaryota; Metazoa; Chordata; Mammalia; Artiodactyla; Suidae
Source: RefSeq, a predicted model, not a curated record